This 407-nucleotide ribosomal RNA is filed under the name uncultured prokaryote. RNAcentral describes it as "bacterial SSU rRNA". It matches the Rfam family "Bacterial small subunit ribosomal RNA", at positions 355 to 774 of the family's 1533-position model. The record is from RNAcentral.
UGGGGAAUAUUGCACAAUGGGCGCAAGCCUGAUGCAGCGACGCCGCGUGAGGGAUGACGGCCUUCGGGUUGUAAACCUCUUUCGCCAGGGACGAAGCGCAAGUGACGGUACCUGGAGAAGAAGCACCGGCCAACUACGUGCCAGCAGCCGCGGUAAUACGUAGGGUGCGAGCGUUGUCCGGAAUUACUGGGCGUAAAGAGCUCGUAGGUGGUUUGUCGCGUCGGCCGUGAAAACUUGGGGCUUAACUCCAAGCUUGCGGGCGAUACGGGCAGACGUGAGUACUGCAGGGGAGACUGGAAUUCCUGGUGUAGCGGUGAAAUGCGCAGAUAUCAGGAGGAACACCGGUGGCGAAGGCGGGUCUCUGGGCAGUAACUGACGCUGAGGAGCGAAAGCGUGGGUAGCGAACA